Molecule: long non-coding RNA, 500 nt
Organism: Cyprinus carpio (common carp)
Lineage: Eukaryota; Metazoa; Chordata; Actinopteri; Cypriniformes; Cyprinidae
Source: Ensembl
UGUUCUACUCUUUGUCUGAUCUUGUUUGCAUUGAGUCUCAUUUGGAUAUGCAUUUACCUCAGUUAUUUCUCCUGGAUUAUUAAAGUGACUUCCUGAGCUACUCUGAAUCAUGAGUGUUCAUAAUAUUGUGACAAUGACUUAAUUUCCUCCAAGAUCAAGCAACUCCAAGAACAUGAUUUGGAGAAAUGUAGCAUUACAUCACUUGCUCACCAAUGGAUCCUCUGCAGGGAAUGAGUGGCAUCAGAAUGAGAGUCCAAACAGGAGCUUCAAAGAAGACGGAGAAAUCCAGAGUCUUGUGCCCUGCGUUUAUCGGUAUCCUUAUGUUCAUUGGGUAAAAAAGAAAAACUCAAUAAACAAAGUAAAAAAUAUCAAAGGUUUCUAUAGAUAUCACGACAUAUCGAUAUCGUGAAUUCUUAUGGCCACAAUAACCGUGAUAUGAAAAAUCUAAUAUUGUGACAGCCCUAGUAAACAGGAAUAAAUUACAUUUAAAAAUAUAUUCA